This 410-nucleotide ribosomal RNA is filed under the name uncultured bacterium. RNAcentral describes it as "bacterial SSU rRNA". It matches the Rfam family "Bacterial small subunit ribosomal RNA", at positions 370 to 772 of the family's 1533-position model. The record is from RNAcentral.
AAUGGACGAAAGUCUGACGGAGCGACGCCGCGUGGAUGAAGAAGGCCGAAAGGUUGUAAAGUUCUUUUGUUGGGGAAGAAUAACCAUGGGAGGGAAUGCCCGUGGGAUGACAUGAACCGACGAAUAAGCCCCGGCUAACUACGUGCCAGCAGCCGCGGUAACACGUAGGGGGCGAGCGUUGUUCGGAAUUACUGGGCGUAAAGGGCAUGUAGGCGGUCUUGUAAGCUUGGCGUGAAAGACCACGGCUCAACCGUGGGAUUGCGUUGAGAACUGCGAGGCUUGAGUGACGGAGAGGGAGCUAGAAUUCCUGGUGUAGGGGUGGAAUCUGUAGAGAUCAGGAAGAAUACCAAUGGCGAAGGCAAGCUCCUGGCCGAUGACUGACGCUGAGGUGCGAAAGUGUGGGGAUCAAA